GACGAACGCUGGCGGCGUGCUUAACACAUGCAAGUCGAACGGUGAAGCGCCUUCCUUUUUGGUGGGUGUGGAUGAGUGGCGAACGGGUGAGUAACACGUGAGUAACCUGCCCCCUUCUUCUGGAUAACCGCAUGAAAGUGUGGCUAAUACGGGAUAUUCUGGGUCUGUCGCAUGAUGGGUCUGGGAAAGAUAUUGUUUCGGUGGGGGAUGGGCUCGCGGCCUAUCAGCUUGUUGGUGGGGUGAUGGCCUACCAAGGCGGUGACGGGUAGCCGGCCUGAGAGGUUGGACGCUCACGAUGUGACUGACGCACGGCACAGCUUCCUACGGGAGGCGGCGGUGAGGAAUCUUGCACAACGGGCGCAAGCCGGAUGCAGCGACGCCGCGUGAGGGAUGGAGGCCUUCGGGUUGUGAACCUCUUUCGCCAGUGAAGCAGGCCUGCCUCGUUUGUGAGUGGGUUGACGGUAGCUGGAUAAGAAGCGCCGGCUAACUACGU
Molecule: ribosomal RNA, 493 nt
Filed under: uncultured bacterium
Lineage: Bacteria
Description: partial 16S ribosomal RNA
Rfam family: Bacterial small subunit ribosomal RNA
Source: RNAcentral